CCCCGUAGAUGAACGCUGGCGGCAUGCCUUACACAUGCAAGUCGAACGGCAGCACGGGGGCAACCCUGGUGGCGAGUGGCGAACGGGUGAGUAAUACAUCGGAACGUGUCCUGUAGUGGGGGAUAGCCCGGCGAAAGCCGGAUUAAUACCGCAUACGCUCUACGGAGGAAAGGGGGGGAUCUUAGGACCUCUCGCUACAGGGGCGGCCGAUGGCAGAUUAGCUAGUUGGUGGGGUAAAGGCCUACCAAGGCGACGAUCUGUAGCUGGUCUGAGAGGACGACCAGCCACACUGGGACUGAGACACGGCCCAGACUCCUACGGGAGGCAGCAGUGGGGAAUUUUGGACAAUGGGCGCAAGCCUGAUCCAGCAAUGCCGCGUGUGUGAAGAAGGCCUUCGGGUUGUAAAGCACUUUUGUCCGGAAAGAAAACAUGCCUGUUAAUACCGGGUGUGGAUGACGGUACCGGAAGAAUAAGCACCGGCUAACUACGUGCCAGCAGCCGCGGUAAUACGUAGGGUGCAAGCGUUAAUCGGAAUUACUGGGCGUAAAGCGUGCGCAGGCGGUUCGCUAAGACAGAUGUGAAAUCCCCGGGCUUAACCUGGGAACUGCAUUUGUGACUGGCGGGCUAGAGUAUGGCAGAGGGGGGUAGAAUUCCACGUGUAGCAGUGAAAUGCGUAGAGAUGUGGAGGAAUACCGAUGGCGAAGGCAGCCCCCUGGGCCAAUACUGACGCUCAUGCACGAAAGCGUGGGGAGCAAACAGGAUUAGAUACCCUGGUAGUCCACGCCCUAAACGAUGUCAACUAGUUGUCGGGUCUUCAUUGACUUGGUAACGUAGCUAACGCGUGAAGUGACCGCCAG
Molecule: ribosomal RNA, 857 nt
Filed under: Paraburkholderia sp.
Lineage: Bacteria; Pseudomonadati; Pseudomonadota; Betaproteobacteria; Burkholderiales; Burkholderiaceae
Description: bacterial SSU rRNA
Rfam family: Bacterial small subunit ribosomal RNA
Source: RNAcentral